RNAcentral lists this long non-coding RNA (12186 nucleotides) under Hordeum vulgare. RNAcentral describes it as "long non-coding RNA (HVUL_LNC006741)". Lineage: Eukaryota; Viridiplantae; Streptophyta; Magnoliopsida; Poales; Poaceae. The record is from RNAcentral.
UUAACACACAUCAACGUCUUCAACAACAAGGUGCUAUAGAACGUCAUUUUCACCGGAUAUAGACAACGGCGACACGUAUAUCUUCGCCAUAGAUAGAUUGACUGAUUUAGCCCUCACCAUUCAGAAUUGCCGCACCAAAAUCUAAGGACUAGGCCAUCACAAAUGUGUUUUGGUCAUUUACCACCUAGCGAGAGACAUUUAGAAAUGCAAUCAAACUAGGUGGAUUCAUUUUGUUGCCAAAAAGCUAGGUGGGUUUUAUUUUUGCAUGAAAAAAAACUAGGUAGAUUCAAGUGCACAUGCAAAAAUAGCUCAUUGCCACUAACAUCUGCCAAACAUGGACGAACCACUACGACAUUAGCCGGCUAUUUUGAAAACCUCGCGAUCACGAGAAGUGUCCUACCUCAUUGGAUUGGUGGCACCACAUUUAUCGCAUGCCUCUCAACACACACUGGCUAAGAAGUCAUGCUACAAAGAGAAACCGAAGAGUCCGAGCAACGAGGGUUGUUGCCAUCCAAGAUGGUAAGUUGAGGUCUCCUUCAAGGACGAUAAUGUGGUAAAAAGGCGGUGGUGGCUUUCGCAAGAAAAAUCUACUGGGUCUUGGGUCUCACGCAUGGACGCCCCGAGGGAUCCGUUUAUGAAAGCAACAUCUAGACACAAUUGAUUGGGACUUGACAUAUUAUCUCUCUUAUUCCUUCCAAAUGGAAAUAUAAGUCAAACCCGGGUUCUUAGGUGUUUGAUUUUACUAGCGAUGGAUAUGUUCUAUGCCUCAAAAUAUAUAUCUUUAGAUUCAUUUUCAUGUCACCUUACAUGAUUUACUAGGUAAAUUAACAAACCUUGUGCCCGGCUUAUAUGUUUGUCCGGAGGGAGCAGCACCAUUUUCCUUCCAGGUGGUCAUGCACCAGAACGAAGGUUAUUGUUUUGUUUCAUGAAAAUCUUGUGUUUUUCUGCGUUUCAACAUGCACUGUACAAAGACAUGGGAAUACGACUUUGCUAAGAAGUACAUCUCUGAUGACAAGGUUUUGUAAACACCCCAGGAGAGUAGUGAAAGGCCAGGGACGGCACAGCACAACUGAGCAACAGGAAAUACGUUUUUCCGAAAAGGAAAGAAUUUAACUUCCUUGGCCCUGCGAGCAGUACAUGCAGGGCGCACAUACACACACCUGUAUAUGUAUAUCUGUAUGAACGCGAUAUGCAUCGCUCAUCGACAGUGCAUGGGGCUCAAAAGAGCCGCGGAACGGCCACGUGUGCACACGAGGACGCCCGGGAUAGGUCCGGUGAAGAUUUCCGGGGAUCUCGUAUAGUACAUGAAUGCCACUAACUGCGAUGUGUACAUGUACAGCAGUCAGUCAGAAACCAGGAGGUGCGUCGAGGCGCGCCGUAGCGGUUGAGAACAAAAACUAACAUUCUGACCCACAGCUGGAUGAUCAAACUGGCCGGAAUAAUCAAUGACAUGUGUGGUGCAGUGCAGGGGAUUCAGAGUUCUAUUUACUUAGUAUUAUAAAAGUAUUGUCCAAUCCCCCUCUGACCUGAAGAGAGAAAGAAAGAAAGAAAAUUCAGAGGUGCCCUGCGAAAACAACAAUCAGUGAGCAAAAUUACCUCGAAAACCCUGUUUAAGCUUAGCCUUGGCAUGCAGUUUUGUCAGCAAACGUAUAAGCAUAUACAGUUUGUCCCAAAGGACAUCUAAUUGCUUGUUGUAAUUUGUGCCAUUCACCAACUUUCGCCGCCACACCGAUCAACUGAUUUAAGGCUGUCCAUAGUGGAAGUAACUAAGGUACUAUCAUAUACUUGGGACUAGCAAACAUACUGAUGUGACAGAUAAUUAAAGAAGAGAGAAAGGAUUAGAGUGACAUAGGUAGAUACAGUAACAUGUUAAAUGCUAUGUUACUAUGUGUCAUGCAUGUCAAUAAAUAAGGUCAUCUAUGAUACUAUUUUAUGAUAUUAUGCACUAUGAAGGUAGUAUCAUACAAUACUAUCAUAUGCAUGAUACUACUAUAUAAUACUCCCCACUAUGACCAGCCUAAUAGCAAUACAUAAUUACUACUCUACAUGGAAAUUUAGCGCUGAUGAUUAUGUAGACUUGUUUGUAUAUGUACUAACAAAAUAUAAAUUAUAUGAUACAGAAAAAUAUAUGUUACUGGAUUUGUAUUGAAAAGAGAUUUUGCAUAAUAUAAUUUUUAUGACAUAUAGUUUACAUUUUAUAAUUCAAAUGUGCAGUUAAACUUGAGCUCAAAAUAAGAGGGGUCUAAUAAAUCUGGACCGAGGUAGUAGUUAUGUAGUACUAUCAAUUUGACUUUUGCGCACAGCUGGGCAAAGCUAAUUUUUUUUUAUGAUUACCUGACGUAAACAUACACAAAAACAAUUGGCACAUAAUUUUUUUGUUUUUCUAAACAAGGUUGGCACAUAAAUCAAAACCAAAGAUCAUAUAGUGUACCAUCAUAGGUCACUAAUUAUUUAUGCAAAUAUGCAAUAGCUCGCAACGGACGACACACACAACGUCAUCUAAGAAUGUACAUAUACACGAUUAGAUACCAAUCAUACCAUAGCUAUACGUUUAUAUAGUUAAAUAAGAUCCUAGUAUUGCCUAGUGCACGUAUGUAUACAGAAGACAAACUACAUGACCACGUACGGUAUCAAUCUUUUAAGCAUCAUUGUACUGUAGAUCCGCGACAAAGAAAUCGUCUAGCUAAUUAAAGCGACGGAGAUAAUCAAUUCAAAUACGUAAGCAUAAUUUUGUAACUAAUUAACCCCUGAUCCUUGACCGGCCAAAUCAACAUGCUGAAGUUUGCGCCCAUGGCGUCCGGCAGGCGCUGUCAUCAGCCGCAUUUCUGACUGUUGUUUAGAUUAAGUAUGUCAACGAACUUAGUUCUAGCAUUCUUGAUUUAAAACUGACAGUGAAGCUGAUUUGUUCCGUUACAUAAAGUUCCACCCUAGGAUGAUGAUAAAUCUGACGUAUAUGGUUCUGAAAUUCAGGAAGGAUACGUAAACAGUGUGUGCCCUUGAAAAGUAACUAUUAAUAUUUGAAACCAAUGGCCGGCUGCAAGAUAAUUUUCUUAACAUGAAGGGAUUAUUUGUUGAAAGAUGUGAUAUACUAUACAUGAAUGACCAUAUACGUUUGUCAUUAUCUACCUUCUUAUUAGUUUGCCGCACUUUUCAACACCUUCUUUUAAUCUUUUAUACGUGUUGCUAGUUGCGAGCAUAUACAUUUUGAAGCUGCAACAAUAAGAUCUUCGCAUAAUUAAUUAGUAUAGAUAUCUAAAACUAACUAAAUUGGCAAUGAAAAGUGGCCACCUACCUAAAAGAUUAGUAAGGUUACUCUUAAGCUAAACCAACAACUUAGGUCUUCUUGGUUCACAAGAUUGUGAAAAUAUAGGAUAGAGAAAACGUAUGAUCAAGGUGCCAUGCCAUAUUAAUUCCUACGGUAAUUGAAGACACAUGAUUGAUUAUAUAAUAGAAGUUGUUUGUCUAGACGACAUAAAAACACAUGAAUAUUCCCAAAAGAUUAGGCACAUAAGAUAGUUGUGAUAGAAAUAACGGAAAACAAAAUCCUUAGGUUAAUUCGAAUAGGAAUUUCCUUUAGAUUUUCAUACAAAGCAGACCACAGAAAAAGCCUAUAUUUUUUUUUUGCAGAAUAACCCCGUGAUUUGUAACUCUAUAAACCAAAAGUUAUACAGAAAAAAAUCGGAAGGAACGAAAUCCUCCAAAAUUCGUAUGCUAUUUCUUUGAACCAAAGAGGCCCUAAACGUUGCAUUGACUUGGUUGUGACCAGGUCGUUAAGUACCAGCUUUGACAGUGAUUACUCAUCACUAAUGACCAAAGUAACGACAAGCCCACAUCACACUUGCUCGAUUUGGUAUUACUGCAUUUCUUAUUCAAGAAUAGUGAUUGGAAGUUGCCUCUUCGGUUGAGAGGUUUGUGUCAUAACAAAAUUCCAAUGACCACGGCAUCUAAAUUAUCAAUAUUUUAUGGAUCAAGUACUAUAUUAUAUGCUUUAAGUACGUGCUCUCUCUGCUUCCACACGAUUUAAAAAUGUCCAGGAUUGGCAAGAGGACGAACUCAUGUCUUUAUAAAAUGCAAGGCAUUUGUGUACGGCCUUGGGUAAAGACAGCUUUUGUGGGAGACACUUGGCCGGCUGACAAGACGUACAAAACUAUUUUGAUGCCAGAGGCACUCCUAGAUAAUAAUAUUAUCACUAAGAAAGAAACAUCUAGAGUUUAAUUCAAUAGUACAAUGGACGUACGAGCUUGAUUCAAACAAAUGCUCACAAUUUGUGUACCUGGAGUUGACAUAUAUUAUCUUUUCUGCAGGCGCAGAAGAUGGCAACGUGGUGGCUUCAAACAUUUUGUAGCCUGCACUAGCCCACAAUUUUGGAAAGGUUUUGAGUUUACUUUGUGCUAAAAUAUAUUUGUUGACAUUUUCCACGUACCGCAUUCAUCGUUGAUUUGUUCAUCCGACGUGCUGAAAUUCCGACCUGGAACCGCCCCGAACGUACUUGAUGCUGUUACUUAUCAAGUUAAUUAUAUUUCAUCAUCUAUAACAAGUACUGCUAAGCAGCAUAGUACUACACCCCGCAAAGAACAGAAAAAAAUGAAGCAUAGCAGUACUAUCAAUGUUGAAUUUAGCGUGCUGGAUUGACUCAAGCACGCUAUGUCAACGAAUGAUCGGUCGGCAGUUGUUUCCGUUUGUCAAACCGUUUGCGUUCAUACAUCCCUAAUCAUGAAGGAUUCAGAAUGUGUGCAGAAAGUCUUCCCGUGGCUGACUAACAAAGGUCAACCAAGGUGCAGAGAACAAGAGAGCAGAAGCAAAGCCGGAUCCGUUGUUUCCAAGGGGGGAACCGUUCGCAUCCUGUGUCCAGGUUGAUGAGAUAUCAUUUCUUGUGCACCCGCUAAAUCUUUCGGUAAAGACGUGUCAAACAUUAUGCCAGCAUCAAUGAAUUUGGAAGGGAGGUCAAAACCAGGGAUAGACAGAUGAUUCAUCUGCCAUAUGCAUGCAACUCCAGAACUUGUAAUCCUUGGGGCCAAACACCAUGUAACGGCAUCACAUCAACAGAAGCAAGCAACAAGAAAACAUAUGUUAUAUCCUCGUUUUGCCUUGAUACAUCGCCAACAAAUUUUAGAGGCCAAACAUCACGUCCAUGACUUUGGACAGGACCGAUUUCGCGGGCGAAGCGAUGGCUCCAGGCGCCCCACGGUUGCUCUCGUUGCCGUUUUGCAAGGAAUUGUUCGGCAAAGGCGCCAGCGUGUUCCUGGUGGCAAAACCGCUCGGUGCAACAGCCUGCGACGGAAAUGGAACCGACAUGCCGCCGUUGUAGGUGUCAUUGGUGUUUUCGUUCAGAUACGGGCGCUGCCAUGGAUCCACUUGCUUCACCCCAAUGAUAAGAACACUGUUUAGCUGCUGACCAUGCUUGGCGAGCGCUUUCUGCGCAUCAUGACGGCUCUGAAACACAUAAAAGAAAAUACAAAUCAGCAAUGAGACAGAUGCACUACCAACAAGGCGCCGAACUGGGGCCUUAAAGUGGAAUCUUGCAUACAUCUACAAACUGUUGGCAUGUUUCAAGUUUCAACUAGAGUACAUUAGCAAGGCCCCACUUCAAAUAAUUGGUGCUAGGAAAAGCUUAUCACAUCCAAGGCACUGUGUCAUAGUAAAGGACAAUCAAACUACAGGGCAAUAUUGACCAUUGUGUCCAUCAUCACUUCAUAUGAUAUGCUGAUAUAGUAUAGUAGGUGCACAGAAGGAACUGUUUUGUUACUUACGGUCUGUUUCAGUCUUCAUUUCAUUUUAAUUAUCAGUUCAUAAACAAAUACAUAAGCUAGCAAAAAAUAUGAUGUAUUUAGCCGAUUCUGUGAUUUUGAUACUCCCGAUACACCCAUAUGUUUCAGACCAUCAAAGUCGUUAAAAAUUCUGGAAAAACACUGACACUGCAUGGAUCUAUCUUGUCACAAAAUUUCAAAUGCAAGCUCAAUACGUAGCUCAAGAAGCACAAAUGACAGUGCUGACAGUGAUAAUGGGCCAAAAAGUCACAAGCCCAAUUUGAAUGAACAUCUUCAUCUUUUCUUGUUUUUUAUGACUUUUGAAGUGGUGUCUGCAGGCAGAGUACCAGAGCACUCCAUGUUUUUGAGGAUACACCCUCACGCACAAUGAUAUUUAUCCUAUCAGAUUACUUUCAGGCUAAUAUUUUCAUUAUGAGUAGGGAAAAACAGAGAUCUGUAUAUUAUAAGUAUCAGUGCUCAAACAAUUAAGUACAAGUUUACCUGAUACAAGAUAUGCAUCCAGUUCGCAUCCCUCGGACCAGUAACGUGUCUCAAGACUAAACCACAUUUCUCAAAUUCUCUCAGUACAAAGUUGGUAUCAGCCGGCAGAAAACUGGCAGAAACAAGGCAAGUAGCAUGAUCAGACAAAGAAUACAUAAGCACAUUUUAAUCCGGACAGGAAAAUUAACCAAUGAACUAGAUCAUGCAUCGGAGAGGAUCUGCUUCAAACGACAUAGCUUAAGAAAAUAUACAUUCAAGUACAACAAUAAUAAUCAUGUCUGUAUAUCAGAAGCUGAACAGAUGCAGGGAUAUAACUGGCACCAUGGGGAUGCCAUCUUAUUGAUAUGUUCAAGAAACGUCUCCAUAUGCAACGAUAUCAUAGGUGUAUCCAACGCCUAGAUGCAGAACUUACAUAAGGUUCCUAAAACAAUUUAUUGCUAGAUUACCAGCUGUUCUCAUUGCUCAACCUCCUAAAGUAAGGUGAGGCGAGGCGCCUAACCCCCCGCCUUACCUUUGAAGCAUGUAAGGCGAGGCGGUAAGUCGAAGGCAACGUCUUAGAUAUAGAAGGAACAGAGAAAUCAAGCAGUUUAACACAUAAAAUGCAAGGGAAAAUAAGAAAGACCGAGAGAUGGGCCACUACCUAUGCACUUCAGUUCCCUGUGGCCCAAAACACCAUAUAGUAGCUAUAUACUCCUACCGUGGGGAGCGAAUGAGGAGCACUCGGUGCUCCACCCCCCUAUAUUAAAAAUAAUUUAGUAAUUCAAAAAAAGAGUAAAAUAGUCACAGAACUUUUUUAGAAUCCAAUAUGGCUAGGUAAUGUACUCGUAUAAAAAUUUGGCUAAGUAAUUAUUCACGUUGACUUAGGGCAAAAAAACAACAACAUUAUGACGACAAUAUAGCAUGAAUAGUACUUUUAUCUAGUUUUUUUGGGAAAUCUUUGAUCCCGGAUGCAAUGAAAGUAAUUCCCUGUUUAAUCUUUUUAUACGAGUGCAAUAGUUGGUCAUGUUUGAUUCUAUAAAAAGUUCCGGGAUUUUUUUGACUUUUUUUCAAUUACUAAAUUAUUUUUGAAUAUAGGGGGGCGUAGCACCUGAGAACUCCUAUGCACUUUCGUCCCGUGACCUAAUUCCACUAUCCUCACUCCUUCCUCACCACAGCCACCGCACACCUUUUGCUCUCUUUCCUCGUUGUAGCAGCACACAACCCUAAAACUCAUCCUUUUUGAUCAUGACCCUAGCCUUCUCUGAUUCUCCCUCACCGCAGCAUCCCUUCUUCCCCAACAGCAGAGUAGAUCCGGCAAGGGAAGGCAACAGGAACAGGGGAAGCAGGCGCAUAAAGGGAUGCUCGCCGGAGUGUUGGGGUUUGGUGGGGUCAUCGUCUUCAAGGCCCAGAAGCAGCCACAAUGAUAAUGCCGCGAGGAACAGGCGGUAGCAGAGACCUCUGACAACAGUGGACCUUUCACUGAAGUAGCCAUACAUUUCAUAUCUAAGGCAGGGUGGACGCCUUACCAUCCCGGGGCGCCUCAGCGCUUAGGCGACACAUUAAAAACAAUGCUACCUACUUUCAGAUUAGCUAAGUUUCGACUAACUGUAGGUAUCUGUAACAGGAGCACAAAUGAUGAAAUGAGAAAGCAUAGAAAACCAUCAUUCUUUGGCAGAAAUAAACCCAUCGAAUAUGGACAUUAAAUCACUCCCACUCACACAAGGUCGCAGAAGAAUACACAUAGCCAAUAGUAAGCUAUCACAAAGCCAACAAAUGUGCAAGGGUACCAAAUCGUAAAUAUACCGUGUAACUGUAUAAUACAGACAGCAUGUGUUAAUCAGGAAAUGCAGUCCAUAGCCUAAUACACAUGUGAAAUAACAAGAGAACUUUAACAGUUCCUCAUCAGACACAGCGGGCAGGGUUGUUUUGUAACAAUUGGCACAUAAAGCUUGAAAAUGAAUAGCUCUCAGACUAUAAAAGCCAGAAAAUAAAUUUCAUCAAUCACAAAUACUAAGAGGUUUCUACAAAGUGCACACGUCGAUGGCUCGAACCACCAAAAUAUAGUCUAGUCUAGAAAAUUAGCGAAACUGAAUUGGUUAAUGUGCUCACGAGUUCGGUGAUUUGGUCAGAGUCAGCAAUAGUAUAAUAAUGGUACUAUGUCCUAAAAUUAUCAUCAUUUUAAGCACCAUGGUGUUUUUUUAGCUAAUUUCAUAUAGCUAAUCUUGGUAUCAAAAACACAAUUAGAUCACGGUAUGUCGAAACUGCAUCACCCAAUGACCACAUGGUUCUGUCUGAUUGCAUACAACUCCUACAGGUAUACCGCAUACAAGACAUACACGAGUCUCCAUUUUUUGUACACUGAUCCACUUCAAACACUUACAAAUCACUUAAACAACCCUACCUAUAAUUGCAACAACACCUAAAGUAUAGACAUACACAACUAUAUGAACCCAACGUCACAAAUUCCAUCAUAAUCUAGUGCAUUCUUCAUAUCGAGUCAGCAAGUGGAGAGGGGGACAUACCCGAAAACGGUGACCCAUUCCUCCUCGUCGACCCGGCCAGUGGAGAGCACCGAAUCCCUCGGCAUCUCCGGACGCGCGACCUCCCUGGGCGGCGGCAGCGUGAUCAGCGCCACCUGCUGCUGCUGCUGCUGCCCGGACGCCGUCGGCGGAGACUGCUGCUGAUGUACGACUCCGUCGACCGGGGAACUAUCCCUGGCCUUCUCCUCCCUCGAGGGGGUCCACCACGCCGCCGGGGAGGGGGAGCCGUUGGAGCGCUGCGGGGUGGAGAAGAACCCCCCGCGAGCGGGCGGAGGCGACGGGGACAUGGCCUCCUGCGGGGGCGCGUGGGGCGGCGGGGAGGGGGAGUGGCGGGACAGGUCAUCGAGGGAGAGCAGCGGGGGAGGCGGCGGCGGGGUGGAGGCCUGGGCCUCGCGGCGAACGGACGCCGGGGGCAUGCGGAAGGACGAGGAUACCGGGGACGAGAGGUCCCGCAGGAACGGCGACUGGUGCCGCCGGUGGUCCGGCCUGGUGGCGCUCAUCGCGGCGGCGAGGAGGAGGAGGAGCAGAAACCCUAGCGACACGAUCGACUGUCUGUCUGAGUGUGGCUUUGGGUUUAUCGACGCGAGCGAAGGCGUCAGCAACGGAGGCUCACCGACUGACUUGUGGACCCGUGACUGGUGGGGCCUACUUGAAGGGAAACACACGAGACGAGAGGUUACUGCGAAGGCGUAACUGUUUCCGGGUCAAAAAGUUGAAGCAGGCAAAAAUGGAGGUUGCGACGGCGACGGAGGCGUCGGCGCCGGCGGCGGGCGGCGGGGCGAGCAGGCGGGGGCACCCGUUCCCGUGGCUCGACGUGGCCAUCUCGGAGCCCUACUACUUCCUCCACCUCAUCGCCUUCUUCUCCUACUUCGCGGCCCGCACCACGGCGCCCUCGGCCGAGGACGACGCCGAAUUCCACAGCCGCCUCAUCCGACGGGUGAGAUCCCGCGGUCACCGAUUCUAGAUCCGGAACGUGCCGUCACGCCGGUCCUUUGAACUGCUUUGGCUCACGCGGAUCGGCGCCUGUGUCUGUUUCUGCAGGAGAUCCAGGCGGUGCUCGUCUUCCUGGUGCUCUUCACGGUGAAGGUACGGUGUUUAAUGACCACCAUUAGUGUUUCCGAGUGAAAUUUCCCCUGUACCAUACUGGAAUUCGGCCAUUCGACUGGUUGGAGUACUGAGCUGCGUGUGAAAUAGAGCUGGAAAUGUACAAUUUCCUAGCUAUGCUAGCGUGACCAUAAUGCCACUACGAGAUAUGAUGCUCAUUAGUCAUGUUUCUUUUUUUUAAUUUUUUACCUAUGCAUUCGGGGUCAGUUAGGUCUGAAACGCAGGUCUCUCAAAAGCACUUCUAUGAUUUGUAUGGAGAAUGAAGCCUGUAAUUUGCUGAUCACAUAAUGUAAUGCUUACCAGAUUGUGAAGGAGGAACACUGGGAAACAUUCAUCGCUGAUUCAUUGCUCUAUGCAAAGGUGUGUUAGUAUGGAAUGGCUGUGUUCUCUUGAUUUGUUAUCAACUUAUCAUUAUUUUGGGUUUUUAUGUAACUUCUAGGCAAGGGUAAGCCAGGUUACUUAAAAACAUUGUUGUUCCCUACUACGGUUGAUAUUGCUAAAUAUGUUAAUGCUUCUUAUAUGUUCUUGUUUUGCUUUGCAGGGCCUCUUGUUGGUGGUUACUUUUGUUAUUGAUUAUUGGUUGACUGUCGGCUACUUACUGGGAUUUAUUGGUAUGUUUUAAUUUAUCUUUGGGUUUUAUUGGUGUGCAUUCUUAUCAACUGCAAAGUAAAAUGCCUAUCGUGUUUUAUAUCACCCCCUUGACAAUACAUUCAAGUCUUGAGCACUUAAUGGAGAAUUUCCUUCUUCUCUGAAUCUCCUACAGUGUUCAUUCUGUGGUUCAUAUUUUUGCUGGAUCUGUAUUCAUGCAAUGCUAUUUUUAAUGCUUGAUUAAACUGCUCUCAAUCAUUUUCCAACACAACUUGUAGGUUAUAUUAGUUUAUGUAGCAGUCUCUUAGUUUGAUCGAUGUUAUGAUGUAACGUUUGUACCCUUGUCCUGCAUACUGAAUCUGUCUAUUACUUAGGCUGUGUUUGGUUGGGCUUCCAUAGCCAACUUCUGCUUUGCAAAAGCAGAAUCUGAACCAAAGGGGUGGUAGCUCACAGCAGAUUUUGAAAAGCCACAACUUCUCGGUAGUGUAGUUUUCGCAUCAGCUCGCAGCAGGCUCGAACCAACUUCUCGGCUGUGAGAAUCAGAUUCUGGGCAAAAAUUACCCACGCUGCCACUCCCAAGUCAAUACCGAUUCAUUUCUUUUCCCUCUCAGCCCUGACCAAACAGCACUGACGACCUCCUGCUCCCUUUUCCUCCCCGCACGGGCUAGGGUUCCUAGCCGCUGCCGCCACUCCGGCCGGCCCUUUGCCGUGGUGCUGCUCGUCAGGUCGGACCCUUCGCCGCCCCUCCAGGCUUCGUGCAUCGAGCCCUUUCCAUCCCUCCACCCCUCGAGCAAGCCCCAGCUCCGGUUGCCUGCGUCCCCCAUCUCCGACUUCCCUCCCGCGCCUAGCAUCCCAGAAACACUGACGCGGCCGUCGGCGUCAAGAUUCGUGGUGAUCGCCUCUUGUUCCGUCCUAGGUCGUCGCUGCCCUAGUUUGACGCCUCAUCUUCUUGCAGACGUCCAAGCUAGCCGGCUGCGGGCAAGCUCUGAUCCAGUCAGCUAUGUUUGUGAUCUGCUUGGCGUGCUCUACUGCAGCUGGCUGUGCUUGCUGUGUGUUAAUUUCAGAGAUAGAUUUGGCAGUUUGAGAGACAGAAAACUGUCUGGUAAUUUCAGAGAUAUGACACUGUCUAGUACAGUAGUAUGUGUCCACGAUUAGUCAUAUUACAUACAUAUAUGGUAUACAUAGGUAGGUCGUUAGUCAUAUUCUUACAGUCACGAUUUAUAAUAAAAUCACAUAAAAUAAGUAAACUCACAUCUUUUAGCUUAAAUUUUUGGGUUACAAUCCCGUGAUAAACAUUGUAAUUAUUUUCAUGAAAAUAGGUCAAUAUGCUAACUAUUCUACAAUUUCAGUUAGUACGGAUUGAUGACUUUCACUUAAUCCAGGGCAAUACGGACAAUUCACAGACAAAGCUACAGUUUGACAGUUGUUUCAACCAAACAGCUUCCAACUUUUCCACAGCUGAAAGUUCACAGCAGCUUUCUCACAGCUCACAGCUCACAGCAGUUUUUUCAGAAUUUGCAGCUCAACCAAACACAGCCUUACACUGUGUCCCUGAUCAUCAAACACCCAUCCAAGUUUGCAAUACGAAUCUGUAGCCAUGAGAUUAGUAGCACUAGACUAUAAAAGACUGUGAAUGAAUUAAUAUUCAAUAACUGAAAUUGUUAAACUGCAAUUUUAUUGAUGUGGAAUUCUUCUUAAAACAUUACUCAGUCCGUAAAGAAAAAUAA